GGGUCCGGACACACUGAGGAUUGACAGAUAUACGCUCAUUGCAGUUCGCUGCAUGAGCUGAAAGAUGCUAGUUCUUUCAUGAUUAUGUGAUAGGUGGUGCAUGGCCGUUCUUAGUUCGUGGAGUGAUCUGUCUGCUUAAUUGCGUAUCAAUAAUAGAGACCUAGUAUACGCGUGGAUUUCGCGUGGUAGUGACCCCCUGUUUAACGACAGGCGUGUGUCGCACACGCGUACCUACGCACUGGUCUCAGAUAGCAACGAACGUGACCGUAUUCUAUUGUUGCAGUGAAAUGUGCCUUCGGGUACGACCCACUGCUUAGUAUAUGUACGUGCUUCGGCGCGAACAAUAUACAUUAAACUAUAGAGACCGCUGUUUCUUCUUUAAACCAGAGGAAGGAUACGGCAAUAACAGGUCUGUGAUGCCCUCAGAUGUUCCGGGCUGCACACGUGCUACAAUGAUCAUUGCACUGUGCAUCUAACCCAAUGUGCGUGGACGCCGCAUGCAUGUGCUCUUCGGGGUACACGCAUUGCUGUUGCGACCACGCCGAACCUACUUCGAAAGUAAAAUUUCUCAGUGGGU
Molecule: ribosomal RNA, 577 nt
Filed under: Ammonia sp. genotype T2
Lineage: Eukaryota; Foraminifera; Rotaliida; Rotaliidae
Description: bacterial SSU rRNA
Rfam family: Eukaryotic small subunit ribosomal RNA (bases 1-451)
Source: RNAcentral